Molecule: non-coding RNA, 1211 nt
Organism: Phoenix dactylifera (date palm)
Lineage: Eukaryota; Viridiplantae; Streptophyta; Magnoliopsida; Arecales; Arecaceae
Source: RefSeq, a predicted model, not a curated record
GCAAUUUUUGUAGAUGCUCAGUUUAGUUUCGAUUUCAGUUUUAAAAAAAUGGUUUAAAUAGUUCAGUUUUGGGUUUAGCUCACCCCUAAUUUACAGGCACAUUAAUACAAAGAAUUAAGUUUUUCCACUAAAAACAUCCCCUUCUUUACUUGCCUUAUUUGUUUGUGCUGUUUUUGCUAUGUUCUCACUGCAGAAACAGAGCUUGUCUCUUCUCUUCUCAUAGCUGCACACAUUAAUUGGUAGCCUCAUCUGUGUUAAAAUAUCCAGCCACAAAUUGCAUUAUACUCAUCUAGUUCGCAGUUCAUAAGGUUCAAGAUACUGGGUAGAAAAGACAUUAUUGCCUUUCUUUAGCAGCCAGGAUUCAUUAGUGAAUACAGUUUGUGAAACCAAAUUCUUGUUAGCAUCGAUACGAGUUCCUAAUACAGUUGUUGGCAGAAUUGAUUAGUUCUCCACAUUUAUCUGAGAGGAGGGAGGAAUUAAUUAAAAAGGAUUAUAUUAGAUUAUCUGGGACAUUAUUAGGCUGCCGAAGGAAUUCCAGGGAAUUGCUGUCAAGGACAUUUGCACAGCUACAUCUGCUUUGAUUGCUAAGCAUGAUGUUGUUAAUGCAUUACAACAUGAUGGUCUUCCUUGGGUUGCUUAUAUUGAAUAUGAAUUUGGUGUGCUUGGUCCUUGGAUGGGAUAUAAUCUUAGAGGUGUCUCUUCCUUUUUCUUUCUUUCUUUUUUGGUAAAAAGGUGUCUCUUCUUCAGGGAGGACCCUCUAUAGUACUGCUUGCAAUAUGGAGGAGAAGCUUUACCUACCUCUGAGUAAUAAGCCUGUAUCCAUAGUCCUUAACCAUUUGUCUCUAUUAACAUGGAUUUGAUUGACCAGAUUGCUUAUGUGCAUUUGGAAUAAUGGGGAUUGGAAUGCAUAAGCACUAUCAAAAUGCUAAACUUCUUGUUUUGCUUCUAUCAUUCAGUCUAUCCCACUAUCCUCUUUUCUUAGGAGAUAAGCGGAUCUGGACACAGGAUACACAUGGAGUAGGUACUGCAAGCUUUGCCAAACAAAUAUAAACCAAUAGAUACAGAUAUAUUAACAAAUAAAAGCAUGUAUUGUUUGGAAAUAAAUUUAAUGUAAACCAGCCUAUGGAGACAAUAGAUACAGAUGAACCAGUAUACAUGUAAUAGGAUUCCUUCUCAACUUUAGGUCUAAUAUCUAAAUGGUACACUGAAAA